This is a non-coding RNA of Salmo salar (Atlantic salmon), 58 nucleotides long. The record is from Rfam. NCBI's taxonomy places the organism in Eukaryota, Metazoa, Chordata, Actinopteri, Salmoniformes, Salmonidae.
UGGCUCAGUUGGUAGAGCGUGGUGUUUGCAACGCCAGGGUUGUGGGUUUGAUUCCCAC